AAAAUAAUUAUUGAUAUUGAUAUGUAAUUUUAUUUUAAUUCUUUUCACAACCGCUCAAAGUGCGACUAAGUACACUUACUUGUGCAAAUUAAUGGUUCUUAGUUCUUGAAACAGUGCAUUCAAAUCACUGUAAGAUGAUCCACCUUCUUCAACAGCCUUGUUCGCCAUUUUCUUAACUUCUUCUGCUCUCCUCCUCAUUUCCAUUGAUUCUUCCCCAGCCAUUACACACUUCACUGCCUUUGUAAUUGCUUCACUUUUCACAUUAUCCACCACUAUGCUCCAUUCCUCUGCCCCAACUGCCACUCCUAUUUGUAGUACUUUAGUUAUCAAUUGCUCAUUCAAGAAUUGCUCUGCAAACAUAGGCCAAGUCACCAUUGGAACCCCUGCUGAUACGCCUUCAAGUGUCGAAUUCCAUCCACAGUGAGUUAAAAAGGCUCCUAUAGCCUCGUGAUCAAGAAUCAGCGUUUGGGGUGCCCAUCCUCUUAUGAUGAAUCCUUUUUCUUUUGUUCGCUCUUCGAAUCCUUCUGGAAUCUUGCCUUUCCUAAUUACCCAUAUGAAUUCUUGCUCUGAAGCUUCGAGGCCUAAUGCAAUUUCUUCGAUUUGGGAAUCAGUAAAGUUAGACAUGCUCCCGAAACAAACAUAGAUUACUGAAUUUUGUUUCUUCGUGUCUAGCCAUUGCAAGCACUCAUGAUGUUUAUCAUCGCUUUUGUGGAUUUUUUCUUCGUUUUUUCUGUUGCAGAGCAAAAAGGGUCCAACGUGCCAUGAUCUUUUACCCAAAACCUUUCUGUAGUAAUCAGCAUAAUCUGGUUCAAGCUCAUAGAAGCUAUUGACAAUAACCCCAAAACUUGUCAACUCGGAUCCCUUCACUUGUUCAAUAAACUUAGUCAUUU
This 890-nucleotide unclassified non-coding RNA is filed under the name Hevea brasiliensis (rubber tree). Lineage: Eukaryota; Viridiplantae; Streptophyta; Magnoliopsida; Malpighiales; Euphorbiaceae. The record is from RNAcentral.